This 78-nucleotide transfer RNA is filed under the name Bacillota bacterium. Its description in RNAcentral is "Firmicutes bacterium (anaerobic digester metagenome) tRNA-Pro". It matches the Rfam family "tRNA". From Rfam's summary of the family: Transfer RNA (tRNA) molecules are approximately 80 nucleotides in length. Their secondary structure includes four short double-helical elements and three loops (D, anti-codon, and T loops). RNAcentral also lists the same sequence under 1 other name. The record is from RNAcentral. Lineage: Bacteria; Bacillati; Bacillota.
CGGGCCGUGGCGCAGUUUGGUUAGCGCGCUUGCUUGGGGUGCAAGAGGUCGCCAGUUCGAGUCUGGCCGGUCCGACCA